CCUACGGGGGGCAGCAGUGGGGAAUAUUGGGCAAUGGGCGCAAGCCUGACCCAGCAACGCCGCGUGAAGGAAGAAGGCUCUCGGGUUGUAAACUUCUUUUAUCAGGGACGAAGCAAGUGACGGUACCUGAUGAAUAAGCCACGGCUAACUACGUGCCAGGAGCCGCGGUAAUACGUAGGUGGCAAGCGUUAUCCGGAUUUACUGGGUGUACAGGGCGUGUAGGCGGGAAAGCAAGUCAGAUGUGAAAACCAUGGGCUCAACCUGUGGCCUGCAUUUGAAACUGUUUUUCUUGAGUACUGGAGGGGCAGACGGAAUUCGUAGUGUAGCGGUGAAAUGCGUAGAUAUUAGGAGGAACACCAGUGGCGAAGGCGGUCUGCUGGACAGCAACUGACGCUGAUGCGCGAAAGCGUGGGGAGCAAACAGGAUUAGAUACCCCAGUAGUC
Molecule: ribosomal RNA, 443 nt
Filed under: uncultured bacterium
Lineage: Bacteria
Description: partial 16S ribosomal RNA
Rfam family: Bacterial small subunit ribosomal RNA
Source: RNAcentral